Rattus rattus (black rat) is the source of this 718-nucleotide long non-coding RNA. RefSeq lists it as uncharacterized. The record is from RefSeq and is a predicted model, not a curated record. The transcript is spliced from 2 exons. NCBI's taxonomy places the organism in Eukaryota, Metazoa, Chordata, Mammalia, Rodentia, Muridae.
CUGGGCUUGGUUCCGGAGAAGGCCAAAAGAGGAAUUUACCCAGGAAGCAAUUUGAAGGCAAAAGUCCCAUCUAAAGUGAAGGACUUUCUCCCCUACUGUGUUGACAUUGCCUUCACUGCCACCAGUGUUGAUCAAAGGUACCAGAUCUCCUGUCAAGAGACAUCAGACUGAGUGGAAGAUCUCCUUGAUACCCUUCUAAUAAAGGGUACAAAUUCUUCCCAGAGAUCCUGGACAGCAAAAACUGUUCCUUUAUGGAAUGUCACCACCUGGCACAGCCAUCUCUCACUUAAGCCAAAGAAAAUUCAAACACACCCCAAAACAGCUAGUACACUGUGGAAAAGGAAACUCUAAUGGCUUCCUGUUGUAGUUUAAAUGUAAAAUGUUCCCCACAGCCUCAUGUAUUUAAAUUGGUGAUGCCAUUUGGGAAAGCACUGUGAUCUUUAGGGGUUGCACCUUGAUGGAAGAUGUGCAUCACUGGGGGCGGGCCUUGAGAAGCCCAGCCCUACUUCCUGUUUACUCUACAUGAUUUGUGACUAUGAAUGUAAUGUGCCAGCUGUCCUCUGGCUCCAGCUGCCACACCCCCCUCUGCUGUGAUGGAGCAUAGGCCCUUGAACUGAAUAAACAACCAAGUCCCAACUCACCAAAAUCCCUUAGCAGUAAGGACUCGCCCUAUAAUAAUUUCACUAAUAAAUGUCCAUGAAAAUGGUUAAAACCUUCA